GGGGAAUCUUGCACAAUGGGGGCAACCCUGAUGCAGCGACGCCGCGUGAGCGAUGAAGCUCUUCGGGGCGUAAAGCUCUUUCGACCGGAAGAUAAUGACGGUAACCGCAGCAGAAGCCCCGGCUAACUUCGUGCCAGCAGCCGCGGUAAUACGAAGGGGGCUAGCGUUGUUCGGAAUUACUUGGCGUAAAGCGCACGUAGGCGGAUCGGUCAGUUAGGGGUGAAAUCCCAGGGCUCAACCCUGGAACUGCCUUUAAUACUGCCGAUCUGGAGUCCGGAAGAGGUGAGUGGAAUUCCGAGUGUAGAGGUGAAAUUCGUAGAUAUUCGGAGGAACACCAGUGGCGAAGGCGGCUCACUGGUCCGGUACUGACGCUGAGGUGCGAAAGCGUGGGGAGCAAACA
This 400-nucleotide ribosomal RNA is filed under the name uncultured bacterium. Its description in RNAcentral is "bacterial SSU rRNA". It matches the Rfam family "Bacterial small subunit ribosomal RNA", at positions 356 to 774 of the family's 1533-position model. The record is from RNAcentral.